Long non-coding RNA from Entelurus aequoreus (snake pipefish), 3000 nucleotides. RefSeq lists it as uncharacterized. The transcript has 3 exons. The record is from RefSeq and is a predicted model, not a curated record. Lineage: Eukaryota; Metazoa; Chordata; Actinopteri; Syngnathiformes; Syngnathidae.
CCAAGAACACAGACCACACCAAGUAUUAAUAUGGACAUGUUACAGAACAUCCUCCAACAUCAACAAAAAGAACUGGACAUGUUACCUGGUAUCUGGGUUACAGGGCGGAGCCACUUGCGCACACCUGAGUAGGUCAAACAACGGCACCCAUUUUAAGGAAGCAGGCUAUCAUCCUCAGUCCCAGGACCAGCAGCUUCCUAGGAAGGCGGAAAGACCAUGGACCAAAAUGGUAAGUUUGCAAAAUGUAGAAUUUGUGUGCCAGUUCCUCUGUGCAGAUUUGAGGAUGAAAGCAGCCACUCCAGAUUCCCUUGCACUCGAUGAGAGGGGCACGGUCAAAGCCAAUCCAGGACCAACACCCGAUACCUGACUGGAAGGAACCGAGAGGAGAGACAACACCUUGCCAGCGAUGGCGAGAACGACUAAGGUUGCCAGCCAAUGUGUCCGUCGGGACACCAGCAGCUGUGGAAAGAAGUGUCGGGAGUGCCGAAGCAGCGAGGAGGCCUGGAAGCAAGCCGAGGGCCUGGACCAAAGCCCCACGCCCCAUACUCUGCCCCAGCCUUCCCCAAAGCCCCCACAGCUCCAACUCUACCUGAGUUUUCCCCAAAGCGGCCAGCGCGCACAUGUCAUUGCACAGUCUGCCCAAUGGACUGAACCACACCCCAAGAAGAGACAGAGACAGACUGUUUGAGUGGAUCUCUUUCUUCACCAAGGCAGCCAAAAGCCCAACGAGGUGUUGGCAGGCCACCAGCCGGAGGCACCACCGAGCCAUCUAUACGAGCACUAAUCGAACAUGGACUCACACGAAAUUCAGUUGUGUGUUCAAAAUCAAUUGGUAAUUAACAAUAUUGGUAACUACAUUCAUUGCAAAUGCCGGAAAAAAUAUUUUUGCAAAUGUCUUACAGUCAUAAGUCUAUAUACAUUCAUCUAAUUAUGUUCAUGAUCAAAGUAUUUGUUAUUCCUUUACUAAAUCAAAGGGUAGGCCACUAAUUGUGUUCUGUGAGAUGGUUUUACUGCAGGCUGGUAACAGCGAUCGCUCUGAAGGAGGGUCAUAGACGGAAUUUUUUCCUCGUAUAAAAACAUUGAGGUUUUUGCCUCUAUCUGUGGUAGAGAUUUAAGUUAAUGGUCUACAUCAGAAAUUGUUUUGGUCCAGGGUCUUAGGACCCUGGAAGGAGGGUAUGUCGUAGAAUUUCUGACCUUUUGACCUAUAUUUCUUGUCUAUUAAGAAUGUCUGCUCAUUUUCAAUUCUCUUCUAUGUUGUGCCAUUGAAUGGACCAGUUGUGGGACAAAGGUGAAUAUGGAGUUAUGCCAACCUGUCUACAGAAUGUUUAGAUUUUCCAAAUAUGACUAAGAGAUACGAGGUUGUUUUGGAACAGACAAACCAAAAAAAAACAAUCAUGACGCACGAGAUAAAAAACAGUGACGCACAAGAGACAUAUAAAAAAUGGCAGAAGACCGGGACUAAAGAGAGAUUUUGGCUUGUGUGUGUCUUGUUUGCUCCGGAGUACAUGUGGUCUGUCUGCACGGCCAACGCAAUUCAACCUGCGCUUCUGAUAAUGGGUAAAUAAAUGUGUUGUACUAAACUACUUUUGUUGCCUGCUUAAGCUUCGGACAAUCCACUACAGUAGUUUUAUACAGUACAGGCGAUAUUUAUAAACCCUCGGUUACAGAAUAAAUUAAUUUGUGUCCUCAAAAUUCUAUAGAUAGUACUUCAUAAUGACAAUGUGAAAAGGUUUAUUUUUUUACAAAUGUAUUUAAAAUAAAAACAAAAAAAUCUAUGUCCAUAAGUAUUCACAGCCUUUGAUGCAUUUUGGCAAACUUUUUACUAAGAAAUGGUUAUGUUGUAACUCUUGACAGAGUGACCUUCGGGUUUUUGGUCACCUCCCUGACUAGACUAAGAUGAUUGCAGCAUAUGUACAGAGACAUCCUGGAUACAAAUCAACAUUUCCCAUCCAACCUGAUGGAGCUUGAGAGGUGCUGCAAAGAGGAAUGGACAAAGAAGAAUGGGAGAAUUUGCACAGAGAUAGGCGUGCAUAUUCAAAAAUACUUUAAUUUUGUAAUUUCUGCCAAGAUGCAUCAACAAAGUAUUGAGUGAAAUAUGUGACUAUUUAAGUAAGUGUCAUUAAAAAAAAUGUAUAUAUUGUUUUAUAUACCUGUACAUUUGGAAACAAAUUGAGUAUAGUCUGUAAAAUUUUGAGAACAAAAAUGUAUUUAUUCUAUUUUGGAAUAAGGCUCUAAUAUAACAAAAUGUGGACCAAAGUUAAAGCGUUGUUAAUACUUUCCGGAUGCACACUAAGCCCGAGAAAUAGGGAAGGGGAACAAGAGGGAUUAAUAAAAAAUACAGCGUUUUUCAUUUAUUUCAGGCAAUGACACAGAAAAAGGACGAGGUAGACAACAUAUAAUAAUAUUAAUUAUUAUUAUGCAAAAAGGGAAUGUACAAUAUGUAAGCAUGACAACCCAGUUUUGCCUAAAAAGGGAGUGGGAAGAAGAUAAUGUAUUUAAUCCCAUCCCCAGUUCUCCAUUCAGUGAUUAAUACAUUGAGCUUCACUGUUACUUUGUUCAAGGAUUAUAAUACAAAUGUUAUAUGAUGGUGGAAUUACCACAAGUAACAACACUUAUUACACUCUAACAAUAAUUUUGUAGGGACAAAAUACCAACAAUGGUAAUGGACAAACUACCAACAAUGGCAAUAGACAAUGUAAUGGUAAGUAAACAUUAGAGCAGCAGGUCUGGCUUGUUUUACAGCACCUGAAAUGGCAUUCCGGGGUGGAACCACUGACCAAACACACCUGCAGGCAUUUGCAAUUACGCCUCGUUAAUUCUUGCUGUCAGCCGCUUUAGUUGCCAGUUGAUUGUCAUGCUAUGCAUCCCUCCAGCUAUUGUUCCCUUCUCCUACAUAGCUUUACUCCGCAGAGUUCCCUUUUAGCUAACCUCUCGUUAUCUGUAUAAUCUGUGAGUACCUGAGUUGCAGCUGCUUUGCACAUACUUUUGGAUUUGUGUUUA